RNAcentral lists this transfer RNA (77 nucleotides) under compost metagenome. RNAcentral's name for it is "tRNA-Asn". The record is from RNAcentral.
UCCGAGCGGCCCAUCUAGGUGAUGGGGACUGGCUGUUAAUCAGAACGUGCCGUGUUCGAACCACGGGCUCGGAGCCA